GUGAACGCUGGCGGUAGGCCUAACACAUGCAAGUCGAACGGCAGCACAGUAAGAGCUUGCUCUUACGGGUGGCGAGUGGCGGACGGGUGAGGAAUACAUCGGAAUCUACUUUUUCGUGGGGGAUAACGUAGGGAAACUUACGCUAAUACCGCAUACGACCUACGGGUGAAAGCAGGGGAUCUUUGGACCUUGCGCGAUUGAAUGAGCCGAUGUCGGAUUAGCUAGUUGGCGGGGUAAAGGCCCACCAAGGCGACGAUCCGUAGCUGGUCUGAGAGGAUGAUCAGCCACACUGGAACUGAGACACGGUCCAGACUCCUACGGGAGGCAGCAGUGGGGAAUAUUGGACAAUGGGCGCAAGCCUGAUCCAGCCAUACCGCGUGGGUGAAGAAGGCCUUCGGGUUGUAAAGCCCUUUUGUUGGGAAAGAAAAGCAGCAGGUUAAUACCCCGCUGUUCUGACGGUACCCAAAGAAUAAGCACCGGCUAACUUCGUG
This 491-nucleotide ribosomal RNA is filed under the name uncultured bacterium. Its description in RNAcentral is "partial 16S ribosomal RNA". It matches the Rfam family "Bacterial small subunit ribosomal RNA", at positions 29 to 507 of the family's 1533-position model. The record is from RNAcentral.